UUGGUAAUGUGUCUUGUUGUGUGAAGGUACAGUACUGGUAAUGUGUCUUGUUGUGUGAAGGUACAGUACUGGUAAUGUGUCUUGGUGUUGAAGGUACAGUACUGGUAAUGUGUCUUGUUGUGUGAGGUACAGUACUGGUAAUGUGUUUUGUUGUGUGAAGGUACAGUACUGGUAAUGUGUCUUGUUGUGUGAAGGUGCAGUACUGGUAAUGUGUCUUGUUGUGUGAAGGCACAGUACUGGUAAUGUGUCUUGUUUGUGAAGGCACAGUACUGGUAAUGUGUCUUGUUGUGUGAAGGCACAGUACUGGUAAUGUGUCUUGUUGUGUGAAGGUGCAGUACUGGUAAUGUGUCUUGUUGUGUGAAGGUACAGUACGGUAAUGUGUCUUGG
Molecule: long non-coding RNA, 387 nt
Organism: Homarus americanus (American lobster)
Lineage: Eukaryota; Metazoa; Arthropoda; Malacostraca; Decapoda; Nephropidae
Exons: 3
Source: RefSeq, a predicted model, not a curated record